Molecule: ribosomal RNA, 255 nt
Filed under: Salmonella enterica
Lineage: Bacteria; Pseudomonadati; Pseudomonadota; Gammaproteobacteria; Enterobacterales; Enterobacteriaceae
Also listed under: 2 other names
Description: partial 16S ribosomal RNA
Rfam family: Bacterial small subunit ribosomal RNA
Source: RNAcentral
UUUCCAGAGAUGGAUUGGUGCCUUCGGGAACUGUGAGACAGGUGCUGCAUGGCUGUCGUCAGCUCGUGUUGUGAAAUGUUGGGUUAAGUCCCGCAACGAGCGCAACCCUUAUCCUUUGUUGCCAGCGAUUAGGUCGGGAACUCAAAGGAGACUGCCAGUGAUAAACUGGAGGAAGGUGGGGAUGACGUCAAGUCAUCAUGGCCCUUACGACCAGGGCUACACACGUGCUACAAUGGCGCAUACAAAGAGAAGCGA